AGUGAACGCUGGCGGUAGGCCUAACACAUGCAAGUCGAACGGCAGCACAGUAAGAGCUUGCUCUUACGGGUGGCGAGUGGCGGACGGGUGAGGAAUACAUCGGAAUCUACUUUUUCGUGGGGGAUAACGUAGGGAAACUUACGCUAAUACCGCAUACGACCUACGGGUGAAAGCAGGGGAUCUUCGGACCUUGCGCGAUUGAAUGAGCCGAUGUCGGAUUAGCUAGUUGGCGGGGUAAAGGCCCACCAAGGCGACGAUCCGUAGCUGGUCUGAGAGGAUGUACGGCCACACUGGAGCUGAGUCACGGGCCAGACUCUUACGGGAGGCGGCAGUGGGGAAUCUUGGCCAUUGGGCGGAAGCCUCAUCCAGCCACACCGCGUGGGUGAAGAAGGCCUUCGGGUUGUAAAGCCCUUUUGUUGGGAAAGAAAGGCAGCAGGUUAAUACCCGGCUGUUCUGACGGUACCCAAGGAAUAAGCACCGGCUAACUUCUG
Molecule: ribosomal RNA, 491 nt
Filed under: uncultured bacterium
Lineage: Bacteria
Description: partial 16S ribosomal RNA
Rfam family: Bacterial small subunit ribosomal RNA
Source: RNAcentral